This 1327-nucleotide long non-coding RNA is filed under the name Nicotiana tabacum (common tobacco). RNAcentral's name for it is "long non-coding RNA (NTAB_LNC006685)". The record is from RNAcentral. Lineage: Eukaryota; Viridiplantae; Streptophyta; Magnoliopsida; Solanales; Solanaceae.
UUACAUUAUACAAAGCAAAAGAAAAUUAACCACCUUUGAAAACAUUCUAGCACUAUGCUCUAAAGCCUCUAAAUAACUUCUGUUACAACGCUUUACCAAAAUAGCCGGCAUGCUAUGUGAUUAUCAUUGAGGCGUGGAAGAGAUUGUUCAUGGAUACAAGUUAGAAAGUUGGCCUUAAAGGUAUGUUAAGGCUAUCCUUUCUUUUUUUUUUGGCAUGACCCAAAUGAUACUGAAAGAAACGAGCAAACGCACAGUUUUCAUAAACGACUCUAUUCAUAGAAAUAUUAGGGGUGUCUAUAUUCUUGAUUCCCCAUGUGAAUUAUUAUUAUAUCUUUUGUUCAUGGGUCUUAGAAAAAUACGUAUUUGAUAAAAUUUAUCCGCCAAACACAUUAUUUUUAUGACAUUCUGAGAAAAUCUUAUUAAUGUAUUUCUUAAGGCAUAUUAUUUUUAUGACAUUCCGAGAAAAUAUUAUUAACGUAUUUCUUAUGCAUUUCAUGCAUUUAUACAUAUACAUUGACCCAUGACCAGAUGGCGUUAUGUACGCGUAUAUAUGUAUAUGGGAUAUGAAAAAAGAUUAUGGCGUUAUAUACACACCACCACCUGAUCAACUGGUAUACAUUGAUGAUUUGCCCACAGUGGCCGAAAUGAUAUGAUGGGAUGCUCUCAGAGGCUUGAUGAUGUUAUGAACACAUAUACCUAUGAAUGGUAUGACGUUUAUAUGCAUAUGCAUGACAUUAUAAAAAUAAAAUAAUUCAUAGAGCUAUGCAGACGUACAUGUCGAGUCUUUUACUCCAUGUUUCUCUCAUGUCUAUUAUUUACUGAAUUUCAUUCCUUACAUAGUCGGUACAUUAUUUGUACUGACAUCCCUUUUAUCUGGGGAUGUUGCGUUUCAUGCCUGCAGGUCUUGAUAGACAGGUCGAGAGUCCUCCAAGUAGGUGAUCAGCUCAGAGGAAGAUGUUGGUACACUCCAUUUAUUCCGGAGUUGCUUAUGUGGUCAGUAUGUUUAGGGCAUGUACUAAUUAGUAUGGCGGGGCCCUGUCUCGAUUUUUAUGACAUUUAUGUACUCUUAGAGGCUUGUAGACAUAUGUCGCGUGCGUGAAAGAUUGUACGGCCUUGUCGGCCUAUGUUUUGAGUUUAUAAAUGAUGAUGUCGGCCUAUUAGGCCCGUAUAUCACGUGUAUAUGAUGAUGUAAUAAGAAAGAUACAUUACGUUGGUACUCGGUUGAGUAAGGUACCGGGUGCCCGUCGCGGCCCAUCGAUUUAGGUCGUGACAAAAGUGGUAUCAGAGCAGUUCUGUCCUAGGGAGUCUACAAACCGUGUCUACUAGA